UACGGGGGGGGCAAGCGUUGUUCGGAAUUACUGGGCGUAAAGGGCGCGUAGGCGGUUGGAUAAGUCAGCUGUGAAAACCACGAGCUUAACUCGUGGCCUGCAGUUGAGACUGUCUGGCUUGAGUGUGGGAGAGGAGAGUGGAGUUCCUGGUGUAGCGGUGAAAUGCGUAGAUAUCAGGAGGAACACCGGUGGCGAAGGCGGCUCUCUGGGCCACAACUGACGCUGAGGAGCGAAAGCGUGGGGAGCGAACAGG
Molecule: ribosomal RNA, 253 nt
Filed under: uncultured bacterium
Lineage: Bacteria
Description: partial 16S ribosomal RNA
Rfam family: Bacterial small subunit ribosomal RNA
Source: RNAcentral